GAUGAACGCUGGCGGCGUGCCUAAUACAUGCCAGUCGAGCGAACAGACGAGGAGCUUGCUCCUCUGACGUUAGCGGCGGACGGGUGAGUAACACGUGGAUAACCUACCUAUAAGACUGGGAUAACUUCGGGAAACCGGAGCUAAUACCGGAUAAUAUAUUGAACCGCAUGGUUCAAUAGUGAAAGACGGUUUUGCUGUCACUUAUAGAUGGAUCCGCGCCGCAUUAGCUAGUUGGUAAGGUAACGGCUUACCAAGGCGACGAUGCGUAGCCGACCUGAGAGGGUGAUUGGCCACACUGGAACUGAGACACGGUCCAGACUCCUACGGGAGGCAGCAGUAGGGAAUCUUCCGCAAUGGGCGAAAGCCUGACGGAGCAACGCCGCGUGAGUGAUGAAGGUCUUCGGAUCGUAAAACUCUGUUAUUAGGGAAGAACAAAUGUGUAAGUAACUAUGCACGUCUUGACGGUACCUAAUCAGAAAGCCACGGCUAACUACGUG
Molecule: ribosomal RNA, 497 nt
Filed under: uncultured bacterium
Lineage: Bacteria
Description: partial 16S ribosomal RNA
Rfam family: Bacterial small subunit ribosomal RNA
Source: RNAcentral